AGUGAACGCUGGCGGUAGGCCUAACACAUGCAAGUCGAACGGCAGCACAGGAGAGCUUGCUCUCUGGGUGGCGAGUGGCGGACGGGUGAGGAAUACAUCGGAAUCUACUCUGUCGUGGGGGAUAACGUAGGGAAACUUACGCUAAUACCGCAUACGACCUACGGGUGAAAGCAGGGGACCUUCGGGCCUUGCGCGAAUGAAUGAGCCGAUGUCGGAUUAGCUAGUUGGCGGGGUAAAGGCCCACCAAGGCGACGAUCCGUAGCUGGUCUGAGAGGAUGAGCAGCCACACUGGAACUGAGCCACGGUCCAGACGCCUACGGGAGGCAGCAGUGGGGAAUAUUGGACAAUGGGCGCAAGCCUGAUCCAGCCAUACCGCGUGGGUGAAGAAGGCCUUCGGGUUGUAAAGCCCUUUUGUUGGGAAAGAAAUCCAGCUGGCUAAUACCCGGUUGGGAUGACGGUACCCAAAGAAUAAGCACCGGCUAACUUCGUGCCAGCCGCCGCAGUAA
This 506-nucleotide ribosomal RNA is filed under the name uncultured bacterium. RNAcentral's name for it is "partial 16S ribosomal RNA". It matches the Rfam family "Bacterial small subunit ribosomal RNA", at positions 29 to 523 of the family's 1533-position model. The record is from RNAcentral.